Molecule: long non-coding RNA, 458 nt
Organism: Gadus morhua (Atlantic cod)
Lineage: Eukaryota; Metazoa; Chordata; Actinopteri; Gadiformes; Gadidae
Exons: 3
Source: RefSeq, a predicted model, not a curated record
AAAACAGUCUGAAAGGCUCCGACACAUCGUUUGUAAACCUUGUCUAAACUAAUUCCAUCUACAAACAGAUCAUCCAUCGGGACAUCAUACCGGAAAACCUUUGUUUCCCGGUCCGGUGAAGCUGGCCGACCUGGGCUACAGUCGGAAGGUGCUGAUGAACUCCGUCCAUCUAAAGGGCUGGGCGGGCACACCGGUCUACAUGCCCCCCCGAGAUCCUCUUAGGAGAAACCAAGUACAGCACACCGGUCGAUGUUUGGGCCAUCGGCUGCACCAUUCUGGCCAUGGCCAAACCCCAGAAACCUUGUCGUGACCUUACCUAUCGGGCUCUGGUCCGAGACACUGUUGCCACUGUCGCUACAGCGGUGUCGUUAUCUGGUCCAGUGAAGGUACCUGCCUCUGGUACGAACUCGGAGCCCAAAGAGAAGUACAAGGUGCCUGACAAGCAGCUGGCUGAACUC